Molecule: ribosomal RNA, 448 nt
Filed under: uncultured bacterium
Lineage: Bacteria
Description: SSU rRNA
Rfam family: Bacterial small subunit ribosomal RNA
Source: RNAcentral
AGAGCGAACGCUGGCGGCAGGCCUAACACAUGCAAGUCGAGCGCCCGUAGCAAUACGGGAGCGGCAGACGGGAUAGUAACACGUGGGAACGCGCCCUUCGGUUCGGAAUAACUCAGGGAAACUUGAGCUAAUACCGGAUACGCCCUUACGGGGAAAGAUUUAUUGCCGAAGGAACGGCCCGCGUCCGAUUAGCUAGUUGGUGAGGUAAUGGCUCACCAAGGCGACGAUCGGUAGCUGGUCUGAGAGGAUGACCAGCAUCACUGGGACUGAGACACGGCCCAGACUCCUACGGGAGGCGGCAGGUGGGGAAUAUUGGACAAUGGGCGCAAGCCUGAUCCAGCCAUGCCGCGUGGAUGAUGAAGGCCUUAGGGUUGUAAAGUCCUUUUAACGGGGAAGAUAAUGACGGUACCGUAGAAUAAGCCCCGGCUAACUUCGCGCCAGCAGCCGC